Saimiri boliviensis boliviensis (Bolivian squirrel monkey) is the source of this 64-nucleotide non-coding RNA. The record is from RefSeq and is a predicted model, not a curated record. Lineage: Eukaryota; Metazoa; Chordata; Mammalia; Primates; Cebidae.
CAGUGUUACAAGUUUUUUUUAGAAUUUAUCUAGCAGGUUUUCCAGUUUUUAUCAGAAAGCUCUU